Molecule: ribosomal RNA, 763 nt
Filed under: uncultured Streptococcus sp.
Lineage: Bacteria; Bacillati; Bacillota; Bacilli; Lactobacillales; Streptococcaceae
Description: bacterial SSU rRNA
Rfam family: Bacterial small subunit ribosomal RNA
Source: RNAcentral
GACGAACGCUGGCGGCGUGCCUAAUACAUGCAAGUAGAACGCUGAAGGAGGAGCUUGCUUCUCUGGAUGAGUUGCGAACGGGUGAGUAACGCGUAGGUAACCUGCCUGGUAGCGGGGGAUAACUAUUGGAAACGAUAGCUAAUACCGCAUAAGAGUAGAUGUUGCAUGACAUUUGCUUAAAAGGUGCAAUUGCAUCACUACCAGAUGGACCUGCGUUGUAUUAGCUAGUUGGUGGGGUAACGGCUCACCAAGGCGACGAUACAUAGCCGACCUGAGAGGGUGAUCGGCCACACUGGGACUGAGACACGGCCCAGACUCCUACGGGAGGCAGCAGUAGGGAAUCUUCGGCAAUGGACGGAAGUCUGACCGAGCAACGCCGCGUGAGUGAAGAAGGUUUUCGGAUCGUAAAGCUCUGUUGUAAGAGAAGAACGAGUGUGAGAGUGGAAAGUUCACACUGUGACGGUAUCUUACCAGAAAGGGACGGCUAACUACGUGCCAGCAGCCGCGGUAAUACGUAGGUCCCGAGCGUUGUCCGGAUUUAUUGGGCGUAAAGCGAGCGCAGGCGGUUAGAUAAGUCUGAAGUUAAAGGCUGUGGCUUAACCAUAGUACGCUUUGGAAACUGUUUAACUUGAGUGCAAGAGGGGAGAGUGGAAUUCCAUGUGUAGCGGUGAAAUGCGUAGAUAUAUGGAGGAACACCGGUGGCGAAAGCGGCCCUCUGGCUUGUAACUGACGCUGAGGCUCGAAAGCGUGGGGAGCAAACAGG